UCCAAAAGUGCUUCACCGUUUCUGGUGACAAUAAUUUUACAGUGUGAAAAAUAAACUUUGUUUGUUUGUUUUUUUGCACAGACCGGAAGACUUUCAGUGGAAGAGGCGAUGUCCUUUGCGGAAUCAACAGGUUUAACCUCGAAUGUAAAAGAUCAAGAAGAGAACACGACAUAUAACUUUGGAGUUUAUAAACACACGAAGGACCGGUCUCGCACUGAACGUUACAUCUUGCAGUUUGAUUUUAACGAGCAAGCUUUAUCCACUAUCCAGAAAGGAAAAUUUGGCAAGAAAAUUCCGUUUGAUGAAAUUCGUGACUACGUGA
Molecule: non-coding RNA, 322 nt
Organism: Paramuricea clavata
Lineage: Eukaryota; Metazoa; Cnidaria; Anthozoa; Malacalcyonacea; Plexauridae
Source: the annotation of a GenBank genome assembly